RNAcentral lists this long non-coding RNA (2893 nucleotides) under Arachis ipaensis. RNAcentral describes it as "long non-coding RNA (AIPA_LNC000298)". The record is from RNAcentral. Lineage: Eukaryota; Viridiplantae; Streptophyta; Magnoliopsida; Fabales; Fabaceae.
ACAAGCUUAGAGAGUUUCCACAUGAUGUAAUGAAAAGUUUGGCUAGGCUUGAGGAGUUGUAUGUGAGAAACACUCGCAUUCAAUGGAAGGCAAAUGACAGUGUUCUAUCUGUGUUGGGUGAUCUGAAUCAAUUAAAAAAUCUAGACCUGCAAAUCCCAAGUGUUGAGCAUCUACCCAAGAAUUUGUUCUUUGACAAGUUGUACAGUUACAAGAUUAUCAUUGGCUCUUUAAAUAGAUAUUUAGAGGCUGAUUUCAAGAUUCCAGAUAAGUAUGACCUGUCAAGAUGUUUGGCAUUAUGCCAAAAGGAUGGCGGCUUUGACAUUCAUUCCGAGGAGGCAAUCAAAAUGUUGUUUGAAAGGGUUGAAAUCUUGUUGCUGCAAAACUUGAACGGUGUCCAAGAUGUUUUUUAUGAGUUGAAUCUAAAUGGAUUUCCUUAUCUUAAACGUUUAUCCAUUGCAAGCAACAAGAGUGUUCGCUCUCUCAUUAGUCAGCAGAGGCAGCGUUCUGAUCAGGUGGUUUUUCCCAAAUUGGAGUCAUUGUAUCUCUAUAAGCUUAGGAAAAUGGAGCAAAUUUUCUCUUGUAAGUCACUCUCAAAAGGUUCCUUUGGUAAGUUGGAAAAGAUCAAGAUCAAACUGUGUGGUUGCUUGAAGAAUGUUUUCUUAAUGUCUAUGGUUGGACUUCUAAAUAAGCUUGAGACAAUUGAAGUUUCAGAAUGUCACUCUUUGGAGACUAUUGUUGGAGAAACAAUUAAUCAUAAUGAAACAGAGCCUACUCUUAAGUUUCUCAAACUUCGUUCUUUAUCGCUGCAAUCUUUAUCCAAGUUUACUGGGCUCUAUCCAAUUUCAUCUGAAGAAGAUAGCAGAUCACUGUUUGAUGGCAAGGUAUGCUCAUAACUACUUUUCAGAUUUGAUUCUCUUGUACAUUUUGAACUUUGUUUCAUAAUAGGAAGAAAGCUUGUAUAUGUACUAAAAAAAGUGACAAAAGAAAAUAAUUUGAGAAAAUUAUAUUCAACUACUUUUGGAAUCAGCAUUAGUUGUUUAUAUUGCUUGGCAGAUUGAAGUUCGGAAGCUAGAGAGAAUUGAGUUGUCUAUGCUCCAAAUCAACCACAUAUGGAGUGACCAAAUAUGGACUACUGUGGAUCAAAGCAAAUCUCCUUUACAAAAGUUGAAAGAGUUGGGCAAGAAGUACCACACUAUCAAACAAACUUAUUCUCCCUUUCAAAACUUGAUACACCUGGAUGUCAAUGGGUGUUGGAAUUUAAAAUGCCUGUGGUCUUUCUCUAUUGCUAGACAUUUGGUGAAUCUUCAAAGCCUUUUUGUUACUGAUUGUAAGAUGACCCACAUCUUCCCCCAUGAUCAAGGUGAUAGUGAGGCUAAAACGAAAAAGGUAUGUAACUAAUUCAUUAACAUUACAUUAGAUUUGUUUAAUUAAUUAGUUUGAUUUCUGAUCUGAGACAAGUAUUGACUGAAAUGGAUGUGAAGCUAGAGCUUAUUAUCCAUGUGAAACUCUUAAAUCCUAAGGAUGGAGAGACACUGUUCAAGGAGAUGGCUGGAAUAGGAGCCAACAAUUCUGAAAUUGAAACAUUAGCAGCAGAAAUAGCCAAGAAGUGUCAAGGUUUGCCGAUGUCAAUAAUUACAACUGCAAGGGCAUUGAAAAAUCAGAGCCACUUAGUUUGGAAGGAUACUCAUCGAGCUCUUGAAAAGCUUGAAGAGGAAAACCAAUUAGCAGCACCUGAGUAUUCUACAAAGUUGAGUUAUAGGCUUCUAGAAAAUGAGGAGCUCAAGCUUACCUUCUUGCUUUGUGCCCGUAUGGAUCAUGACGCAUUGGUUGCAGAUUUGGUGAGAUAUUGCAUUGGUUUGGGUUUUCUUCACGGUGUCUACUCAGUUUGGGAAGCCAGAGACAGAGUACAAAUGCUACUCGUCAAGUUAAAACAGUCAGGUUUGUUGUCUAACAGUUAUUAUUCAAGUGAUCGUUUCACCAUGCAAAAUCUUGUUCGUAAUGCAGCUUUGUCAAUAUCAUCUGAGGAGAGGCAUGUGUUCAUGAUGAUCGAAGAAAAACUAGAUGAAUGGCCUGAUGAGGAUCUACUUAAAGAGUACACUGUUAUUUCCUUACAACGUUGUAAUUUCAUUGAGAGAUUUCCUGUCAACAUGUGUUGUCCUAGUCUUAGAGUCUUUCAUAUUGAAAAUAAUGAUCCAUCUUUACAAAUACCAGAUAAUUUCUUUCAAGAAAUGAGAGAACUUAGGGUGUUGAUUUUGGUUGGGUUCAACCUUCUAUCAUUGCCUUCCUCAAUUAAAAACCUAAAAAAACUAAGAAUGCUUUGUUUCGAGAAAUGCAUUUUAGGUGAAGGUGAGCAAUUAGGUGUCUUGGGAGAAUUAAAGAAUUUAAGAAUACUAAGCUUUUCAAGAUCUGAUGUCAAAGUUUUGCCUGAUGAGCUAAAGCAUUUAUCUAAGCUUCAAAUCUUUGACAUCAGUAACUGUUACAAGCUUAGAGAGUUUCCACAUGAUGUAAUGAAAAGUUUGGCUAGGCUUGAGGAGUUGUAUGUGAGAAACACUCGCAUUCAAUGGAAGGCAAAUGACAGUGUUCUAUCUGUGUUGGGUGAUCUGAAUCAAUUAAAAAAUCUAGACCUGCAAAUCCCAAGUGUUGAGCAUCUACCCAAGAAUUUGUUCUUUGACAAGUUGUACAGUUACAAGAUUAUCAUUGGCUCUUUAAAUAGAUAUUUAGAGGCUGAUUUCAAGAUUCCAGAUAAGUAUGACCUGUCAAGAUGUUUGGCAUUAUGCCAAAAGGAUGGCGGCUUUGACAUUCAUUCCGAGGAGGCAAUCAAAAUGUUGUUUGAAAGAGUUGAAAUCUUGUUGCUGCAAAACUUGAAUGGUGUCCAAGAUGUUUUUUAUGAGUU